This 124-nucleotide small nucleolar RNA is filed under the name Prolemur simus (greater bamboo lemur). RNAcentral's name for it is "Small nucleolar RNA SNORA70 (ENSPSMG00000004534.1)". It matches the Rfam family "Small nucleolar RNA SNORA70". Rfam says of the family: snoRNA U70 seems to be exclusive to mammals and is a member of the H/ACA class of snoRNA which contain H (ANANNA) and ACA box motifs. The record is from Rfam by way of RNAcentral. Lineage: Eukaryota; Metazoa; Chordata; Mammalia; Primates; Lemuridae.
GCACACCACUGUAUGGCUAAUUUUUUAAAAAAUUGUGAUGGCCGCAAACACCAGCCUCCUUUUUAGUGUUUGCACGCAUCCUGUCACUUGUGCAGGUUGCUCUAAGGGACCUUUGGAGACAGCC